Molecule: long non-coding RNA, 1289 nt
Organism: Ziziphus jujuba (common jujube)
Lineage: Eukaryota; Viridiplantae; Streptophyta; Magnoliopsida; Rosales; Rhamnaceae
Exons: 2
Source: RefSeq, a predicted model, not a curated record
UUUUUAUGUGAACGUUGGAUUUAAUUCGACUAUAGUUCGUUAAAAAUUUUAUCGCAUGGUUUGUUCAUCCAAUUGUUGCUUUGCUUUUGUUAAAUUUUUAUAUUGGGCUUUGUUGUUAUAUGGCAACGCUGCAAGUGCAAGUUCGUUUUUUGGGAAUAGUGUACGUUUCAGUGGCAGCACAAUGUGAUUGUUUGAAAUUAUUUAAUUUCCAUAUGAUUUUGGGUUGUCAAAAAGUGUCUUGGGAUAGAUUUGUCGACGAAAAAUUGAUAAUGGGUUUGGUUUUUCAGAAAUCUUUUUUUCUGUGAUUUGGCUUGGAACUUGGAAGAGAAUGAAGGCGUUUAACAGAGCAAUAGGUGGAAGAGAAGAGUUUUUUGAUUUUAUUUGAAACUUUAUGCCUUUUUAUUGGUGGGUCUGAUUUCUUUUUUUUUUUUUUUUUUGGUCCUGAAAACCGCGAGUAUGACCAAAAGAAGAUUGUUGGAGGUUUUUAAAAGUAACGAGGAUUCACCAACGGAAAUCACGAAUUUUUUCUCCCAUUUUCUUGGAGGGUUAUUUUGGGCAUUGAUGCUUCGUUUUAGGUGGGACUGUUAAACGGGUCGUGUUCCAAAGCUACUAUUUGCUGAAAGGUAUUAGCUUUCGCUUAAUUUUUCGCUUUCUUAUUAUUCAAAAUUGCUUCUUUUGCGAUAUUUUCCCUGUUUAUCUACAUUUUUUGUUCAUUUUUGGAGACUUUGAAAAUGUAUAAUCCGACUCGGAUGACCUGAGAAAUCUCACCACCAUUUAUAGUUCUUUUUCAAAUUUUUGUUUUCGUACGAGAAAGGCCAAAAGGGUCUACAAGCUCGAAAAUAAUCCCUCUCUGUAAUUAAAAAAGCAUGAGCUUGCCAGUCCUAGUUUAUCCAAUUUGGCAACACCGUCCAGUUUCCCACCACAUAUAGCAGCCCUUGACUGAGUUUGGAACAGUGUCCAGUGAGUCCGAUCAUAGGCAGAGUGUUAUGUGGGAAUAUAUUUAUUUGGGUAAAGCUUUGAGAAAGAUAAUUCGAAAUGGGAUGGAUUUUCAAGCCUAGAUCUGAAGGGGAGAAGGUAGAAGCUUUCAAGGAUUGAUAAAUACCUUGAUGGGUGUGUUAUGGUAGAUUUGGCUCUGUCAGUGAAAAAUGUUUGGCUGCCAUGAAUAUUUUAAAAGAACCAGAUGAGAAAGCAGAAAAUCUGUGGACGCUGGAAGGUCAACGAUAAGAAAAUAUUGCUAAAGAAAGCUGGUUUUUCUUUUCUCUUUUUUUUUUUUUUUUUUUUAAUAUAAA